This is a small nucleolar RNA of Echinops telfairi (small Madagascar hedgehog), 121 nucleotides long. RefSeq annotates it as small nucleolar RNA SNORA64/SNORA10 family. The record is from RefSeq and is a predicted model, not a curated record. NCBI's taxonomy places the organism in Eukaryota, Metazoa, Chordata, Mammalia, Afrosoricida, Tenrecidae. The transcript has a single exon.
CGGCUCUCCCAGGUUACACCUGCCACAUGUGUGACUCUCGUAACGAGGAGAGAGAGAAAGGAUGCCCUCAGGACCUGGGCAGGCCUCCUGUGGCCUGUCCCUUCUGGGGGCCACAACAAAC